This 451-nucleotide ribosomal RNA is filed under the name uncultured Fibrobacter sp. RNAcentral's name for it is "partial 16S ribosomal RNA". It matches the Rfam family "Bacterial small subunit ribosomal RNA", at positions 341 to 792 of the family's 1533-position model. Lineage: Bacteria; Pseudomonadati; Fibrobacterota; Fibrobacteria; Fibrobacterales; Fibrobacteraceae. The record is from RNAcentral.
ACGGAAGGCAGCAGUGGGGGAUAUUGCACAAUGGGGGAAACCCUGAUGCAGCGGCGCCACGUGUGGGAAGAAGCAUUUCGGUGUGUAAACCACGGUCGUGAGGGAAUAAUGCUUGGCCUCGGCCAAGUUGAAUGUACCUCGAAAGGAAGCACCGGCAAACUUCGUGCCAACAGCCGCGGUAAUACGAGGGGUGCAAGCGUUGUUCGGAGUCACUGGGCGUAAAGGGAGCGCAGGCGGAGAUGCAGGCAGUCUGUACAAUACCGGGGCCCAACCCCGGACCUGCAGACUGGACUGUUUCUCUUUGAUAGUUCAGGGGCAAGCGGAAUUCCUGGUGUAGCGGUGGAAGGCGUAGAGAUCUGGUAGAACACCGAUGGCGAAGGCAGCUUGCUGGGGACUUAUCGACGCUCAUGCUCGAAAGUGCGGGUAGCAAACAGGAUUAGAUACCCUGGUA